Styela clava is the source of this 282-nucleotide non-coding RNA. NCBI's taxonomy places the organism in Eukaryota, Metazoa, Chordata, Ascidiacea, Stolidobranchia, Styelidae. The record is from RefSeq and is a predicted model, not a curated record.
AAAGGACAGUGCACGAAGAAGAAGGGAAAGCUUUGGAAGCUUUAACGGAACGAUUGGACGGGAUGAAAAGUGAGCUCAAUCAAUUAGAAAAGGUGUUGGAAGAAGCAGAGACGAACUCUGUUGCAAGUGUCAAAGAAACGACCACUCCCCAUGGAUACAAAAACAAGAAAACUUCCUCGGCCCGUACUUCAACCGUCCCUGCCACAUCCCCGUGGUCAACUAAGGAAGCCUUUCUGUCUACUUUUCGCCCACAAACUACCAAAGUCGAACAGAGUACAGGUU